Long non-coding RNA from Lotus japonicus, 1201 nucleotides. RefSeq lists it as uncharacterized. Lineage: Eukaryota; Viridiplantae; Streptophyta; Magnoliopsida; Fabales; Fabaceae. The transcript has 2 exons. The record is from RefSeq and is a predicted model, not a curated record.
UCUGAAAUAGAUGGAAUGAUUAGAAAAUCUAUUGAAGUGGGGAUGUUUCGCAUUAAGGUAUUCAUGGGUUAAGACGGGAUAAACUUUGUCGUCCCAAAUAAGAUGGAGUUUUAGUUUAGGGUUUUCAAAACCUUUAAUACAACUCAUAUGGGAAAAAAAUGGUGGCGAAUCCUGAAGAACCUGAACUUUAUUGGGUUUGGAACUUAAAUCUAUCUAUUUCCCUAAUGGUUUUAUCUUUUAUGCUAGAAAAGGUUGGCGGCCAAUUUAUACUUGGACCAGCAUUCACCGCACAAAAUGGGUAUUGGGGGAGGGGUUUAAAUGGAAGAUUGACAAUAGUAGCAAGUUCUUAUUUCUGAUGAUAGAUGGUUACCCCACGGUUCUAGCUUAAUCUACUAGGAGAGCCUUAGAGAGGAUUGGGGUUCGUGUGGUGGCCAAUUUAUUGUCUUCUUUGAGGACAUGAUGGAAUAUGAGUUUAGUGAAAGCUCUCUUUUGGCCACCUACUAUUCCCAUUCCUGUGUAGAUUCCUCUCCUCUGCUCUCAUCAAGAGGAAACUUUGUCUUGGCCGAGUGCUACUAAUGGUGAAAUACCACAAAGUUAGGCUAUGGUUUUAUCCGGAGGAAAAGUAUUGCGCCCUUUUCGUCGUCUUCUAUAAAGCAUUAGUUUCCGCCGAGGUUUUGGAAAUCUCUUUGCAGAUCAUCCACAUUCCCUUGUUACAAAGAGGUGGUGUGGCAUGGGGGCUUUGGGAUCCUUCUAGUCAGACCCCUUUUGAGUCACACACGAUAUCGGUAGAGGAUGCUUGUUCAUUAUCUCGGCAGCGGCCUCGGGAGGCGUCGUGAAGGUUAAUUUUGGUACGUCUGUCAUUCAAUAUGUAGAAGGUUUGGAGUCUGUUGCUCGUGACCAUUCAGAGGUGUUGGCUGUUGCUUCUAUAUAUCCUCUAGAUGUUCAAACUUAUUUUCUUGCAGAGGUUUUUUGGUGAACUCUAUCAUUGGCUAUUGAUUUAUGUUGGCGAGUUUUCUUUUUGAAAAAUUGUCUGCAACUCUUUGAUGCUUGGCGUCGCUCGAGGACCAGCUGCUCGUAUUGUAUUACUAUUAUUUUCCAUGGUAGAGCUUUAGAUUAAGAUUCUUUUAAGCUUUCUUUUAUCCGUCGUCCUGGUAAUUAUGUUGCGAACUACCUAAUUAAAAACUCUAACUUUCCUUUACCU